CUCAGGAUGAACGCUAGCGAUAGGCUUAACACAUGCAAGUCGAGGGGCAGCAUGAGGGUUAGCAAUAACCCUUGACGGCGACCGGCGCAAGGGUGCGUAACGCGUGAGCAACUUGCCCUUAUCAGGGGGAUAACCGGUGGAAACGCCGACUAAUACCCCAUGGCAUCACAUCAAGGCAUCUUUUUGUGAUUAAAGAAAUUCGGAUAAGGAUAGGCUCGCGUGACAUUAGCUAGACGGCGGGGUAACGGCCCACCGUGGCGACGAUGUCUAGGGGUUCUGAGAGGAAGGUCCCCCACACUGGAACUGAGACACGGUCCAGACUCCUACGGGAGGCAGCAGUGAGGAAUAUUGGUCAAUGGUCUGACGACUGAACCAGCCAUGCCGCGUGAAGGUCACGGCCCUAUGGGUCUUAAACUUCUUUUGCGAGGGAGCAAUAAGGUCUACGUGUAGUCCGAUGAGAGUACCUCGCGAAUAAGCAUCGGCUAACUCCGUG
This 493-nucleotide ribosomal RNA is filed under the name uncultured bacterium. RNAcentral's name for it is "bacterial SSU rRNA". It matches the Rfam family "Bacterial small subunit ribosomal RNA", at positions 23 to 507 of the family's 1533-position model. The record is from RNAcentral.